CUGUGAGCGUGCGGGCGAUACGGGCAGACUUGAGUACUGCAGGGGAGACUGGAAUUCCUGGUGUAGCGGUGGAAUGCGCAGAUAUCAGGAGGAACACCGGUGGCGAAGGCGGGUCUCUGGGCAGUAACUGACGCUGAGGAGCGAAAGCGUGGGGAGCGAACAGGAUUAGAUACCCUGGUAGUCCACGCCGUAAACGGUGGGUACUAGGUGUGGGUAUCCUUCCUUGGGAUCCGUGCCGUAGCUAACGCAUUAAGUACCCCGCCUGGGGAGUACGGCCGCAAGGCUAAAACUCAAAGAAAUUGACGGGGGCCCGCACAAGCGGCGGAGCAUGUGGAUUAAUUCGAUGCAACGCGAAGAACCUUACCUGGGUUUGACAUGCACAGGAUGCCGGCAGAGAUGUCGGUUCCCUUGUGGCCUGUGUGCAGGUGGUGCAUGGCUGUCGUCAGCUCGUGUCGUGAGAUGUUGGGUUAAGUCCCGCAACGAGCGCAACCCUUGUCUCAUGUUGCCAGCGGGUAAUGCCGGGGACUCGUGAGAGACUGCCGGGGUCAACUCGGAGGAAGGUGGGGAUGACGUCAAGUCAUCAUGCCCCUUAUGUCCAGGGCUUCACACAUGCUACAAUGGCCGGUACAAAGGGCUGCGAUGCCGCGAGGUUAAGCGAAUCCUUUUAAAGCCGGUCUCAGUUCGGAUCGGGGUCUGCAACUCGACCCCGUGAAGUCGGAGUCGCUAGUAAUCGCAGAUCAG
Molecule: ribosomal RNA, 741 nt
Filed under: uncultured Mycobacterium sp.
Lineage: Bacteria; Bacillati; Actinomycetota; Actinomycetes; Mycobacteriales; Mycobacteriaceae
Description: bacterial SSU rRNA
Rfam family: Bacterial small subunit ribosomal RNA
Source: RNAcentral